This is a long non-coding RNA of Betta splendens (Siamese fighting fish), 2979 nucleotides long. Lineage: Eukaryota; Metazoa; Chordata; Actinopteri; Anabantiformes; Osphronemidae. The record is from Ensembl.
CUGGAAGCCAGGGAGACGGGAGGAAUCGGACGCUCCCUCCUUCCUCCACCCUCCUUUAUCCUGCCUCCUUGCUCCUGCUUCCUCCCUCCUUUAUCCUGCCUCCUUGCUCCUGCUUCCUCCCUCCUUUAUCCUGCCUCCUUGCUCCUGCUUCCUCCCUCCUUUAUCCUGACUCCUUGCUCCUGCCUUCUCCCUCUAUUAUCCUGCCUCCUUGCUCCUGCUUCCUCCCUCCUUUAUCCUGCCUCCUUGCUCUUGCCUUCUCCCUCCUUUAUCCUGCCUCCUUGCUCCUCCCUCCUCCCUCCUUUAUACUGCCUCCUUGCUCCCGCUUCCUCCCUCCUUUAUCCUGCCUCCUUGCUCCUGCUUCCUCCCUCCUUUAUCCUGCCUCCUUGCUCCUGCUUCCUCCCUCCUGCUUCCUCCCUCCUUUAUCCUGCCUCCUUGCUCCUGCUUCCUCCCUCCUUUAUCCUGCCUCCUUGCUCCUGCUUCCUCCCUCCUUUAUCCUGCCUCCUUGCUUUUGCCUUCUCCCUCCUUUAUCCUGCCUCCUUGCUCCUCCCUCCUUUAUCCUGCCUCCUUGCUCCUCCCUCCUUUAUCCUGCCUCCUUGCUCCUCCCUCCUUUAUCCUGCCUCCUUGCUCCUGCCUUCUCCCUCCUUUAUCCUGCCUCCUUGCUCCUGCUUCCUCCCUCCUUUAUCCUGCCUCCUUGCUCCUGCUUCCUCCCUCCUUUAUCCUGCCUCCUUGCUCCUGCUUCCUCCCUCCUUUAUCCUGACUCCUUGCUCCUGCUUCCUCCCUCCUUCAUCCUGCCUCCUUGCUCCUACCUCCUCCUUCCUUUAUCCUGCCUCCUUGCUCCUGCUUUCUCCCUCCUUUAUCCUGCCUCCUUGCUCCCGCUUCCUCCCUCCUUUAUCCUGCCCAAUUGCUCCUGCCUUCUCCCUCCUUUAUCCUGCCUCCUUGCUCCCGCUUCCUCCCUCCUUUAUCCUGCCCAAUUGCUCCUGCUUCCUCCCUCCUUUAUCCUGCCUCCUUGCUCCUGCUUCUCCCUCCUUUAUCCUGACUCCUUGCUCCUGCCUUCUCCCUCUAUUAUCCUGCCUCCUUGCUCCUGCUUCCUCCCUCCUUUAUCCUGCCUCCUUGCUCUUGCCUUCUCCCUCCUUUAUCCUGCCUCCUUGCUCCUCCCUCCUCCCUCCUUUAUCCUGCCUCCUUGCUCCCGCUUCCUCCCUCCUUUAUCCUGCCCAAUUGCUCCUUCUUCCUCCCUCCUUUAUCCUGCCUCCUUGCUCCUGCUUCCUUCCUCCUCCCUCCUCCCUCCUUUAUCCUGCCUCCUUGCUCCCGCUUCCUCCCUCCUUUUAUCCUGCCUCCUUGCUCCUGCUUCCUCCCUCCUUUAUCCUGCCUCCUUGCUCCUGCCUUCUCCCUCCUUUAUCCUGCCUCCUUGCUCCUGCCUCCUCCCUCCUUUAUCCUGCCUCCUUGCUCCUCCCUCCUUUAUCCUGCCUCCUUGCUCCUCCCCUCCUUUAUCCUGCCUCCUUGCUCCUGCCUUCUCCCUCCUUUAUCCUGCCUCCUUGCUCCUGCUUCCUCCCUCCUUUAUCCUGCCUCCUUGCUCCUGCUUCCUCCCUCCUUUAUCCUGCCUCCUUGCUCCUGCUUCCUCCCUCCUUUAUCCUGACUCCUUGCUCCUGCUUCCUCCCUCCUUCAUCCUGCCUCCUUGCUCCUACCUCCUCCUUCCUUUAUCCUGCCUCCUUGCUCCUGCUUUCUCCCUCCUUUAUCCUGCCUCCUUGCUCCCGCUUCCUCCCUCCUUUAUCCUGCCCAAUUGCUCCUGCUUUCUCCCUCCUUUAUCCUGCGUCCUUGCUCCCGCUUCCUCCCUCUUUUAUCCUGCCUCCUUGCUCCUGCCUUCUCUCUUUUUUUAUCCUGCCUCCUUGCUCCCGCUUCCUCCCUCCUUUAUCCUGCCUCCUUGCUCCUGCUUCCUCCCUCCUUUAUCCUGCCUCCUUGCUCCUGCCUUCUCCCUCCUUUAUCCUGCCUCCUUGCUCCUGCCUUCUUCCUCCUUUAUCCUGCCUCUUUGCUCCUGCCUUCUCCGUCCUUUAUCCUGCCCAAUUGCUCCCGCUUCCUCCCUCCUUUCUCCUGCCUCCUUGCUCCUGCCUUCUCCCUCCUUUAUCCUGCCCAAUUGCUCCUGCUUCCUCCCUCCUUUAUCCUUUCUCCUUGCUCCCGCUUCCUCCCUCCUUUAUCCUGCCUCCUUGCUCCUGCCUUCUCCCUCCUUUAUCCUGCCCAAUUGCUCCUGCUUCCUCCCUCCUUUAUCCUUUCUCCUUGCUCCCGCUUCCUCCCUCCUUUAUCCUGCCUCUUUGCUCCUGCCUUCUCUCUUUUUUUAUCCUGCCUCCUUGCUCCUGCUUCCUCCCUCCUUUAUCCUGCCUCCUUGCUCCUGCUUCCUCCCUCCUUUAUCCUGCCUCCUUGCUCCUGCUUCCUCCCUCCUUUAUCCUGCCUCCUUGCUUUUGCCUUCUCCCUCCUUUAUCCUGCCUCCUUGCUCCUCCCUCCUUUAUCCUGCCUCCUUGCUCCUCCCUCCUUUAUCCUGCCUCCUUGCUCCUCCCUCCUUUAUCCUGCCUCCUUGCUCCUGCCUUCUCCCUCCUUUAUCCUGCCUCCUUGCUCCUGCUUCCUCCCUCCUUUAUCCUGCCUCCUUGCUCCUGCUUCCUCCCUCCUUUAUCCUGCCUCCUUGCUCCUGCUUCCUCCCUCCUUUAUCCUGACUCCUUGCUCCUGCUUCCUCCCUCCUUCAUCCUGCCUCCUUGCUCCUACCUCCUCCUUCCUUUAUCCUGCCUCCUUGCUCCUGCUUUCUCCCUCCUUUAUCCUGCCUCCUUGCUCCCGCUUCCUCCCUCCUUUAUCCUGCCCAAUUGCUCCUGCCUUCUCCCUCCUUUAUCCUGCCUCCUUGCUCCCGCUUCCUCCCUCCUUUAUCCUGCCCAAUUGCUCCUGCUUCCUCCCUCCUUUAUCCUGCCUCCUUGCUCCUGCUUCCUCCCUCCUUUAUCCUGA